This 938-nucleotide ribosomal RNA is filed under the name uncultured Thermus sp. Its description in RNAcentral is "bacterial SSU rRNA". It matches the Rfam family "Bacterial small subunit ribosomal RNA", at positions 440 to 1382 of the family's 1533-position model. Lineage: Bacteria; Thermotogati; Deinococcota; Deinococci; Thermales; Thermaceae. The record is from RNAcentral.
CUGGGACGAAACCCCCGAUGAGGGGACUGACGGUACCGGGGUAAUAGCGCCGGCCAACUCCGUGCCAGCAGCCGCGGUAAUACGAGGGCGCGAGCGUUACCCGGGAUUUACUGGGCGUAAAGGGCGUGUAGGCGGCUUGGGGCGUCCCAUGUGAAAGGCCACGGCUCAACCGUGGAGGAGCGUGGGAUACGCUCAGGCUAGACGGUGGGAGAGGGUGGUGGAAUUCCCGGAGUAGCGGUGAAAUGCGCAGAUACCGGGAGGAACGCCGAUGGCGAAGGCAGCCACCUGGCUCACCUGUGACGCUGAGGCGCGAAAGCGUGGGGAGCAAACCGGAUUAGAUACCCGGGUAGUCCACGCCCUAAACGAUGCGCGCUAGGUCUCUGGGUUAUCUGGGGGCCGAAGCCAACGCGUUAAGCGCGCCGCCUGGGGAGUACGGCCGCAAGGCUGAAACUCAAAGGAAUUGACGGGGGCCCGCACAAGCGGUGGAGCAUGUGGUUUAAUUCGAAGCAACGCGAAGAACCUUACCAGGCCUUGACAUGCUAGGGAACCUAGGUGAAAGCCUGGGGUGCCCCGCGAGGGGAGCCUUAGCACAGGUGCUGCAUGGCCGUCGUCAGCUCGUGUCGUGAGAUGUUGGGUUAAGUCCCGCAACGAGCGCAACCCCUGCCGUUAGUUGCCAGCGGGUUGAGCCGGGCACUCUAACGGGACUGCCUGCGAAAGCAGGAGGAAGGCGGGGACGACGUCUGGUCAUCAUGGCCCUUACGGCCUGGGCGACACACGUGCUACAAUGCCCACUACAGAGCGAGGCGACCUGGCAACAGGGAGCGAAUCGCAAAAAGGUGGGCGUAGUUCGGAUUGGGGUCUGCAACCCGACCCCAUGAAGCCGGAAUCGCUAGUAAUCGCGGAUCAGCCAUGCCGCGGUGAAUACGUUCCCGGGCCUU